UACAGAGGGUGCAAGCGUUAAUCGGAAUUACUGGGCGUAAAGCGUGCGCAGGCGGCUUCUCAAGUCAGGGGUGAAAGCCCAGAGCUCAACUCUGGAAUUGCCUUUGAGACUGAGUGGCUUGAGUACGAGAGAGGUGAGUGGAAUUCCCAGUGUAGAGGUGAAAUUCGUAGAUAUUGGGAAGAACACCGGUGGCGAAGGCGGCUCACUGGCUCGUAACUGACGCUCAUGCACGACAGCGUGGGGAUCAAACAGG
This 253-nucleotide ribosomal RNA is filed under the name uncultured bacterium. Its description in RNAcentral is "partial 16S ribosomal RNA". It matches the Rfam family "Bacterial small subunit ribosomal RNA", at positions 524 to 776 of the family's 1533-position model. The record is from RNAcentral.